Molecule: non-coding RNA, 2141 nt
Organism: Triticum urartu
Lineage: Eukaryota; Viridiplantae; Streptophyta; Magnoliopsida; Poales; Poaceae
Source: RefSeq, a predicted model, not a curated record
CGAAAGGUGGCCACAGAUGAGGAAAGGAUAAAGCCUAAACGGAACUUCAAGUUAAGCAGGUGUGGUUGUGAGGCUAUGAUCGGAUUCAAGAGGCAAGAUGACGGCAAAUAUGAGGUUGCCCGAUUUGUCCAAUCGCACACGCACCAACUUAUUUCGCCAAGUAAGAGACAUCUCAUUAAGUCAAAGAGAGAAGUAAGUAGUGAGUUGAGGACAAAAUUACUUACAUGUCAUAAGGCAUUGGUUGGCACAUCUGCAGCAUAUCGCUUGCUUAGUGUAGAGAAGGGGGCCAAGCAAAUGUAGGUUGCACAAAGCGUGAUUUACAAAACUGCCACCGUGAUUUUAAAAGAGCAAUUAAGGGAGCAGAUGGACAGAUAAUAGUAGAUAUCAUGAAGAAUAAGCAAGCUGCCAAUCCAGCCUUCUACUUUGAUUACCAACUCGAUGAGAAUGAUAAACUUACAAAUAUUUUCUGGGCCGAUAGUAUAUGCAGAAAAACUACUCAUUGUUUGGUGAAGUGGUGUCUUUCGACUCCACAUACCGCUUUAAUAGGUAUGACUUGGUGUUUGCCCCUUUCACUGGAGUUAACAACCACAAAUCUUGUGUUACAUUUGGUGCUGCUUUUUUAUGGAAUGAGAAGCAAGAAUCUUAUAUAUGGUUGUUCAAGACUUUCUUAAAAGCAAUGUGUGGGGUUGCACCUAAGCUAAUCAUUACCGAUGAAGAUCAAAGCAUGAGAAUAGGGAUAGAACAUGUUUUCCCGAACACUAUACAUAGACUUUGCAUGUGGCACAUCCUCAUGAAGCUUACGGAAAAAGUUGGUGCGACCCUAAAAAAUAGUCCAGAUUUCCAUGAACAGUUUAUGUCAUGUGUUUGGGGAUCAGAGACACCAAACGAGUUCGAGUCAAAAUGGUGUUCAAUAAUUAAUGAUUUCGGGCUAGAUGAUAAUACAUGGUUGCAGGAGAAGUAUGAGUUACGACGAUCAUGGAUUCCGGCAUAUUUUACUGAUUUCCACCUUGGCGGAAUCUUGCGUACCACAUCAAGAUCUGAGAGUGAGAAUACAUUCUUCAGACACUUUACUAACCGGAACCUUGCCUUGAUUGAAUUUUGGGUCAGAUUUGAAACAGCUUUGGAGGAAUAACGGCAAAAAGAAUUACAAGAAGAUAAUGCCAGCCUUCAUACACUGCCUAUACUCAAGACUUGUUGGAGUAUCGAGAGUCAUGGUAGAGAAGUGUAUACUCAUGAGGAUUUUGCUGAAUUUCAGAGUCAGGUGCUAGCAGCGAGGGAUUAUUGUCAUAUCAAAACAAUCACGCAGAUUGGUGAGCUCCGCACCAUCAGCAUUAGCAGCAACAGUGGCAAGGUUAGACAAGUUAGUUUCAACACUAGCACUAAGGAAACACACUGUUCUUGUAGGAUGUUUGAAUCCUUGGGUAUCAUUUGCCGUCACAUCAUUGUUGUCCUAAAGAAUGAGGGCUGUAAUGAAAUUCCUAGUCAAUAUGUGCUACAUAGGUGGACUAAAAUGGCUGCGCGACACCUUGCCUAUGAUGCCAACGACCAUGAGCUACAAGGGUCAUCUACAUGUCUUCCACCUGUCAUAAAGAAGUUGUACGCGGAAACAUGUUCAAAUUUCAGCUUGGCACUUCAUGUCGCAAAACAUAGUGAGGAGAGAUGAGAUAUCUUCACAAGGCUAUUGGUGAUGCCUACACACAAUUGGGGCAGGAGGGAACAGUUAGUGAGCAAAGUAAAGUUCAAGAAUUUGAAUCCUUCAUUGGAACAUCAUUCCCAACUGUGAUCAACAUUCACCCACCAGAUGUAGCAAAAACAAAAGGGAGUGGUAAGAGAUUGAAAAGGGGCUCGGAGCAGACCGUGACCCAAAAGAAAAAGAGGGCCAAAGAGCAUCACAAAAAUAAGUAGUUGUGGUGGUCUCACUGAUGCGAUGUUGGAAUAAUUAUUUUUAGUCAUUUUGUGUAGACUUGGUAUAGUGGAAAUCAAUCCAUUCAAGUCUGUGCUUCUCUGUCAUUUACGCACUUUGAUUGUUCCAGUGCAAAAUGGCCGUAUGUAAGAAGUGAAUUUGCCAUGCCAAAUAUAUGCAACAUGUUAUGUAAUCCUAUUAUGGUACCCGUUACCAUGAUCUGUGUAUAAGUGUACAA